CUUGGUCAUUUAGAGGAAGUAAAAGUCGUAACAAGGUUUCCGUAGGUGAACCUGCGGAAGGACCAUUCAUAAUAAGUGUUUUAUGGCACUUUUUAAAUCCAUAUCCACCUUGUGUGCAAUGUCAGUCGAUCUUCUUCAUGGAGAUCGACCAAACAUCAACCUUUAUUUUUUAACUCUUUGUCUGAAAAAUAUUAUGAAUAAACAAUUCAAAAUACAACUUUCAACAACGGAUCUCUUGGCUCUCGCAUCGAUGAAGAACGCAGCGAAAUGCGAUACGUAAUGUGAAUUGCAGAAUUCAGUGAAUCAUCGAAUCUUUGAACGCAUAUUGCGCUCUUUGGUAUUCCGAAGAGCAUGCUUGUUUGAGUAUCAGUAAACACCUCAAAGCUUUUGGAUUUUUUAAUCGAAAAGCUUUGGACUUGAGCAAUCCCAACACCAAUCUUUUUGAGAUCGGUGGCGGGUUGCUUGAAAUGCAGGUGCAGCUGGACAUUCUCCUGAGCUAAAAGCAUAUUCAUUUAGUCCCGUCAAACGGAUUAUUACUUUUGCUGCAGCUAACAUAAAGGGAGUUUGACCGUAUUGGCUGACUGAUGCAGGAUUUCACAAGGGUCGGCAACGAUUCUUGUUAAACUCGAUCUCAAAUCAAGUAAGACUACCCGCUGAACUUAAGCAUAUCAAUAAGCGGAGGA
RNAcentral lists this ribosomal RNA (683 nucleotides) under uncultured fungus. RNAcentral's name for it is "eukaryotic LSU rRNA". The stretch from base 216 to 369 matches the Rfam family "5.8S ribosomal RNA". The record is from RNAcentral. Lineage: Eukaryota; Fungi.